AGGACGAACGCUGGCGGCGUGCUUAACACAUGCAAGUCGAGCGGAAAGGCCCUUCGGGGUACUCGAGCGGCGAACGGGUGAGUAACACGUGAGCAACCUGCCCCUGGCUCUGGGAUAGCCUCCGGAAAACGGGGAUUAAUACCGGACAUGACCCUUGACCGCACGGUUGGGGGUGGAAAGUUUUUCGGCCAGGGUGGGCUCGCGGCCUAUCAGCUUGUUGGGGGGUGACGGCCCACCAAGGCGACGACGGGUAGCC
RNAcentral lists this ribosomal RNA (256 nucleotides) under uncultured bacterium. RNAcentral describes it as "partial small subunit ribosomal RNA". It matches the Rfam family "Bacterial small subunit ribosomal RNA", at positions 26 to 288 of the family's 1533-position model. The record is from RNAcentral.